AUCCAGUCGACGAGUCCCAAAUAGGACGAAACGCACAUUCUGGAU
Molecule: non-coding RNA, 45 nt
Filed under: Schistosoma margrebowiei
Lineage: Eukaryota; Metazoa; Platyhelminthes; Trematoda; Strigeidida; Schistosomatidae
Source: RNAcentral